CUGGCGGCGUGCCUAACACAUGCAAGUCGAACGAUUCUUUGAUUAUAGCAAUAUUAUUAAAGAGGAGUGGCGAACGGGUGAGUAACACGUAGAUAAUCUGCCUUCAGACGGGGACAACUCAGGGAAACUUGUGCUAAUACCCGAUGAGACCACAAGAAGGGAUUUUUUGUGGCCAAAGGCGGGCAGCAAUGCUCGUGCUGAAAGAUGAGUCUGCGUCCUAUCAGCUAGUUGGUGGGGUAAAUGCCUACCAAGGCUAAGACGGGUAGCCGGCCUGAGAGGGUGAACGGCCACACUGGGACUGAGACACGGCCCAGACUCCUACGGGAGGCAGCAGUGAGGAAUUUUCCGCAAUGGGCGCAAGCCUGACGGAGCGACGCCGCGUGAGGGAUGACAGCUUUCGGGUUGUAAACCUCUUUUAUUAAGGAAAAAGAUCUAUAUGCUAAUAUCAUGUAGAUUUGAUGGUACUUAUUGAAUAAGCCCCGGCUAACUACGUGCCAGCCGCAGC
RNAcentral lists this ribosomal RNA (505 nucleotides) under uncultured bacterium. RNAcentral describes it as "bacterial SSU rRNA". It matches the Rfam family "Bacterial small subunit ribosomal RNA", at positions 36 to 518 of the family's 1533-position model. The record is from RNAcentral.